UACGGAGGGUGCAAGCGUUAUCCGGAUUCACUGGGUUUAAAGGGAGCGCAGGCGGGCUGGUAAGUCAGUGGUGAAAGCCUUGAGCUUAACUCGAGAACUGCCAUUGAUACUAUCAGUCUUGAAUAUUGUUGAGGUUUGCGGAAUGGGUCAUGUAGCGGUGAAAUGCAUAGAUAUGACCCGGAACACCUAUUGCGAAGGCAGCAGGCUAAACAAAGAUUGACGCUGAGGCCCGAAAGCGUGGGGAUCAAACAGG
Molecule: ribosomal RNA, 253 nt
Filed under: uncultured bacterium
Lineage: Bacteria
Description: partial 16S ribosomal RNA
Rfam family: Bacterial small subunit ribosomal RNA
Source: RNAcentral